CCUACGGGAGGCAGCAGUGGGGAAUAUUGGACAAUGGGGGCAACCCUGAUCCAGCCAUGCCGCGUGAGUGAUGAAGGCCCUAGGGUUGUAAAGCUCUUUUGUGCGGGAAGAUAAUGACGGUACCGCAAGAAUAAGCCCCGGCUAACUUCGUGCCAGCAGCCGCGGUAAUACGAAGGGGGCUAGCGUUGCUCGGAAUCACUGGGCGUAAAGGGUGCGUAGGCGGGUUUUUAAGUCAGGGGUGAAAUCCUGGAGCUCAACUCCAGAACUGCCUUUGAUACUGAAGAUCUUGAGUCCGGGAGAGGUGAGUGGAACUGCGAGUGUAGAGGUGAAAUUCGUAGAUAUUCGCAAGAACACCAGUGGCGAAGGCGGCUCACUGGCCCGGUACUGACGCUGAGGCACGAAAGCGUGGGGAGCAAACAGGAUUAGAUACCCUGGUAGUC
This 440-nucleotide ribosomal RNA is filed under the name uncultured Bradyrhizobiaceae bacterium. Its description in RNAcentral is "bacterial SSU rRNA". It matches the Rfam family "Bacterial small subunit ribosomal RNA", at positions 338 to 795 of the family's 1533-position model. Lineage: Bacteria; Pseudomonadati; Pseudomonadota; Alphaproteobacteria; Hyphomicrobiales; Nitrobacteraceae. The record is from RNAcentral.